GACGAACGCUGGCGGCGUGCUUAACACAUGCAAGUCGAACGGUGAAGCGCCUUCCUUUUUGGUGGGUGUGGAUGAGUGGCGAACGGGUGAGUAACACGUGAGUAACCUGCCCCCUUCUUCUGGAUAACCGCAUGAAAGUGUGGCUAAUACGGGAUAUUCUGGGUCUGUCGCAUGAUGGGUCUGGGAAAGAUAUUGUUUCGGUGGGGGAUGGGCUCGCGGCCUAUCAGCUUGUUGGUGGGGUGAUGGCCUACCAAGGCGGUGACGGGUAGCCGGCCUGAGAGGGUGGACGGUCACACUGGGACGGAGACACGGCCCAGACUCUUACGGGAGGCAGCAGUGGGGAAUAUUGCACAAUGGGCGCAAGCCUGAUGCAGCGACGCCGCGUGAGGGAUGGAGGCCUUCGGGUUGUGAACCUCUUUCGCCAGUGAAGCAGGCCUGCCUCGUUUGUGGGUGGGUUGACGGUAGCUGGAUAAGAAGCGCCGGCUAACUACGUG
RNAcentral lists this ribosomal RNA (494 nucleotides) under uncultured bacterium. Its description in RNAcentral is "partial 16S ribosomal RNA". It matches the Rfam family "Bacterial small subunit ribosomal RNA", at positions 28 to 507 of the family's 1533-position model. The record is from RNAcentral.